RNAcentral lists this ribosomal RNA (433 nucleotides) under uncultured bacterium. RNAcentral describes it as "partial 16S ribosomal RNA". It matches the Rfam family "Bacterial small subunit ribosomal RNA", at positions 29 to 507 of the family's 1533-position model. The record is from RNAcentral.
AACGAACGCUGGCGGCAUGCCUAACACAUGCAAGUCGAACGAGACCUUCGGGUCUAGUGGCGCACGGGUGCGUAACGCAUGGGAACCUGCCCUUAGGUUCGGAAUAACUCCCCGAAAGGGGUGCUAAUACCGGAUAAUGUCUUCGGACCAAAGAUUUAUCGCCUUUGGAUGGGCCCGCGUUGGAUUAGCUAGUUGGUAGGGUAAAAGCCUACCAAGGCGACGAUCCAUAGCUGGUCUGAGAGGAUGAUCAGCCACACUGGGACUGAGACACGGCCCAGACUCCUACGGGAGGCAGCAGUGGGGAAUAUUGGACAAUGGGCGAAAGCCUGAUCCAGCAAUGCCGUGUGAGUGAUGAAGGCCUUAGGGUUGUAAAGCUCUUUUACCCGGGAUGAUAAUGACAGUACCGGGAGAAUAAGCUCCGGCUAACUCCGUG